CCUGUGAAGGUUUUAAAAGACAUGCUCGGUCUUUCAUCUUGCUUUUCAAAAUUGCAACUUAUCGUUAUUUAUUGUAUAUACCUACAAUGUACCAUUUUAGAAUUUUGAAAGAAGCAAAUUAGCACUUAAGCCAUUUUCGAAAAUACACAAUAAAUGCAGUUUUUCACUAUACGAUCCACAUUUUAUAUAAUCCACAUGUUCCAAAAUGUCGACGGAUGCAAAGCAAGCGAAGAUGGACAUUGACAUAACUCCUCAUGACAAAGGAGUCCUUAAUUGUAUAUUUAACCCUGGAUUGCCUUAUGGAGAUUGUGUAGAAGAGGAAACACCACCUGUAUAUAUAAAUGUGGAGAGUGAAGAAGUGAAACAAGUGAAGGUUCUAGAGCUGCAAGCAGUGAAGGCAGCCGAGGCCGGUGACCUUCCAACUGCCCUUGACCUCCUGAAUGAAGCUGUGACAAGGGCCCCUGACUGGGCUUCCACGUAUAACAACAGAGCACAAGUACUUCGCCUACGGGGAGAUAUCCAAGGAGCACUGGAGGACUUGAAUAAAGCUGUAGAACUGAGUAGGGGAGAGGGCAAGGUGUCAUGUCAAGCAUACACCCAGAUGGGACUUAUCCAUCGACUGGAAGGCGAUGACACCCAGGCAAUAGAGGACUUCAAGAAAGCUGCCCAACUCGGCAGUGAGUUUGCCAAGCAACAGGUGGUGGCACUCAACCCCUAUGCUGCGAUGUGCAACCAGAUGCUGAGUGAAGUCAUGCAGAAAGUCCGUCGAGGAGAACAGUAGAUACCCUGCAGUCAUAGCCAAGUCUUUCACAGUACACAGUAAUGUGAUUGAAAUAAAGAUAAUUACUUGAGUUGAUGUAAUUACUACAGUCAUAGCCAAGUCUUUAACAGUACACAGUAAUGUGAUUGAAAUAAAGAUAAUUACUUGAGUUGAUGUAAUUAAACUAUUGGUAUGAAACAGUGAGGUAACAGUGUGUUUUGGGUGUUAAGGUUAGGUGAGUCUUGUUCAAUUUCUUGUUUCUCUCAAAUGUCUGAAGACGAACUUCGAUGAACAAAAAAAAAUGAUCACUUUCUUUGAAGUAGAUAUGGAAUCGCUUACUGCUUUCCUGCAUUACCUAUAUUUUCUGUGUAUGAAAUGCACAUGUUAUUGUUAUGCUUCAGUCGUUAGAGUUGGAUGGUGGUGAUGCAGCUGUUGUUUUGUUUCAGAUGAAAUGUUUGUUGAAGUGUGGACAAAAAUAUUGCAGCUAUAAAUAUUGCUGUAAAAGGUUGCUAGAAAUUGGUAUUUCCUGUACAGGAGGCAGUGGUGGCCCAAUCAUUGGGGCUCAGCAAUUCAUAGUGCUGAGCUACGUCAGUUGGGCCUUUCAGAAACCUGUAUAAGGGAACCCCUAAUCAACAAUAACUUCACUUAUUGCUAUAAUAAGGUCACUUUACAAAUGUUUUUGUCAACUUAAAGAAUUUUUGCUGACAUUUGCUGAAGUCUUGGAGCCAAAUAUUGGUCUCUGAGCAUGUGUUAAAAUACCCCUUGAAUGUAGAUGCAUUUGUGGAGCCUUGUAAUACCAAGAGGGAAUGGUUGUUUAGCAUUGUGGAAAUGUUAACUAUGGCAGAGG
RNAcentral lists this unclassified non-coding RNA (1607 nucleotides) under Haliotis rubra (blacklip abalone). RNAcentral's name for it is "tetratricopeptide repeat protein 36 homolog, transcript variant X1". The record is from RNAcentral. Lineage: Eukaryota; Metazoa; Mollusca; Gastropoda; Lepetellida; Haliotidae.